AAUUUUAAUUAUAACCAUCGAUCUUAUAUAGUCGACGAUUAAGAUCAAAUCUCCCAUUUCUUUACCUUCUAAAGAAAUCAAACCCCCAAAUCAGAUUUCAUUUUUCUCUUUUUAGAAUAAUCCAAUCAGCCGCCCACCUCCCUUUUUCUCUCCUCUAUCUUCAACAACCGCACCACCGCCGGCCACCUCUGGCUGGUGGAAAACUCUCUCCGCCGCCCUUCAUCUCUUUCUCUUCUCCUCUGUCGCCGGUGAACCAAGCCAAACGCUAGGUUUUAUCGGCGAAAAUGAACCAGCUCCGCCGGCCGCGAUUCCAUCUGGCAGAAUCAACAACUGUUGUCGUCGCGAUUCCAGACGGCAGAAUCAACAUCUGGUUGGAUGAAGUGAAGGCUCGCCUCGGAAGUGUUGUGUGAUAAGAAGGUGCCCCUUAAGCUUAAAGGCAAAUUCUAUAGAGUGACAGUCCGUCCGGUCAUGUUGUAUGGAGUGGAGUGUUGGCCAGUCAAGCACUUCUACAUCCAAAAAUUGAAGGUGGCGGAAAUGAGAAUGUUGCAUUGGAUGUGUGGGCUUACUAGAGGGACAGAGUUAGGAUUGAGAUUAUCCAAGAGAAGGUAGGAGUGGCUCCGGUGAAGGACAAGAUGUGGGAAGGCUGAGAUGGUUUGGGCAUGUGAUGAGGAGGGGCGCAGAUGUCCUAGUUCGUAGGUGUGAGAAGCUAGCUUUGGAUGGCUUUAGGAGGGGUAGAGGUAGGUCGAAGAAAUAUUGGAGGGAAGUGAUUAGACAUGACAUGAAACAACUUCAGCUUAUUUAGGACAUGACCCUAGAUAGGAAGGUGUGGAGGGCGUGGAUAAGGGUAGAAGGCUAGUUAGUGUGAGUGUGUGGGUCGUAGCAAGCAGUCAAGAGAGAUCUUGUGUACUCGGGUUAGUAAUCGUAGGGCUGUGUAUAUAGGUGUCUUUGGUAUGUGAGUGUAUGCGUAAUACCCUGAAAAAUCCAAACCAAUAUUAUAGCCAUGUAUCAAGCUCAUGCGUAGUACAUCGUUGUUCUUUUAUAGUUUUAUGAGUAAGUUAGAUGUAUAUUAAGGCUUCAAAUAACUCCCAGCUAUCAGAUGAGUCAAAACAUUUCUUACCGAUUGAAUUCUUGAGAAGGAUAUUGGUAUAGUCAACUUCAAACGAACAUAUCUCUCAUUACACUUGGAAUUUUUGAGCUUAUGACCUAUCAACAGAUAGAUAAUUGAAUUAUCUUUCCAACGAUAUCAAUUUCGUCUAAAUUCGAUAUCGGAGCAAAGAGUUAUUCCUAUUUUACUCCACCAUGUCAGGCUGGAAACUGUGUGACGACAUUCGUGGUAGCUUACCACAUUUAUGACGCCCUAUCAUGAAGGUCGUUAGCCUUAGGCAGAAUCCAGCUCCUAUAUGAUGACAUUCGUGGUAGCUUACCACAUUUGUGACGCCCUACCACGAAGGUCGUUAGCCUUAGGCAGAAACCAGCUCCUGUGUGACGACAUUCGUGGUUGUGACGUCCUACCACGAAGGUCGUCAGACUUAGGCAGAAACCAUCAGUUCCAGCUCCUGUGUGACGACAUUUUUGACGGCUUACCACACUUUUGACGCCUUGUCACAAAUGUCGUCAGCUAUGAUUUUCAACAACCGGGAAUUUAUUUCAUAAGGGUAUUUUGGUCUUUUCUUUCACCUUCUACGAUUUAUAACCUUAAAGAGGCGUAAUUUUUCUCAUUUUUUUCAGUUAAGCAUCUUAAAAACCUCUCUUACACUCUCAACCACAAGAUUAGGGUUUUAUCUCAAGAUCAUCUCCUCAGGAACAAGAGAGCAUUCUUUCCCAAAGGGGUUAAACCCUAGUCAAGAAAAAUCAAGGCAAGCCUAAGUAAUUCUUCAAGAACCUUCAGAAACAUUAGAUCUCUUUCAAGAUUCAAUCACUAAGGUAUGCGUAGUGUUCAUCUAUGGAUCCAAUCUGUUCAUAGAGCUCAAGAACCGUGUUUUAAAUAUUAUUUUGUAAACUUUUAUGGUGAUAUGAGUAUGUACAUGUUGACGAUUGUUGUUUAAGUUUCAAUGUGAUGUCUAAAGGUGUUUUCAUGGAAUAUAUAUGUUUGUUAAUUGAAAACCAUGAACUUUAGGUGGUUUAAUAUGGUGCAAGUAUGAAACCCACCUAUGCCUUAAAGAAUGCAUGCAAGGUGUUUGAUGAAAUGCCUAAGAUGCUAGAAAUUCAUAUUUACAUGAUUCCAUGAUAUCUAAAUGACAAGUCUGUGUUAGCUAUACACUUCAAUAUGGAUUUCCAUGCUAUUUAUGUGUUGUUAUUGUUGUGGUAUGGAGUAUGUAUGAUAAUGGAGGUAUGAAUUAUGUACAUGAAAUAUAUCCAUGCUUUUCCCUACCAUGUUUGAGAUGUUGAAUAAAUGCAUGAAGUAUAAUAUCCCCUACUUAUGAUAUUGUGAAUUGUGGACUCCGAUCUUGUGAUCAAGUCGUGUCAUGUGUGAGUCAGUUUCAUUCCAUCGAGUCCUGGAGGUAUUCGUACCCGAAAACUAUGGCUGUGUGCCUAGAGCCAUGUCAUGUUAUCACGAUACUUUCAGUUAAGCCAUGAUUUAUAGAAUUCAGUCAGUCAUGUGACUUAGGAAAACUCAGAAAUCUCAGUAAUCUUAGUAGUUCAGUAAUCUCAGUGAUCUCAGUACUCAGUAAUAUCUGUAACCUUAGUAUUCAAAGUCAAUCUCAAUAAUUUCAGUACUCUCAACUAGUCCUUAGAACUCAGUACAUUCCAUCAGUCAUCGGAAUCCAGUAAACUCUGUUUUAGCUCCGCAAAACAAUACCACUAUUUUCAGUUCAAUUAAUCAGUAUCAGUUCAGCAAAUUAGUUCAGUUAAGUUAUUUGGUUCAGCCCAGUUAUUCAGUUCAGUGUCUUUCAGAUGGGAGUAGGAUUCAGUACCGAGUGAGCCUAGGGAUGGGGACUCACCCGCUAGAUUAGCACUGAGAUUCUUAGAAGCAAUCCUUAAGUUCCAGAACUAUGUAGCUAGCGUAGGUACGAGAUGUCACCCGUUAGAUAGGACUACAUACUCAGGGGUCACCCGUUAGCACAUUUAUAUGUAUAGGACUGAUCCCAAGAGUCACCCGCUAUAUUAGUACUGACUCCACAACAGAUGUCUUUACUGGUGGCGCGGUACUGACACCCUUCCAGUCAGGGCAGAGAUUGGACCCCAGUCAGCUUAGCUUGGGGCAUGUCAGUUAGAUGAACACAUCCCACAGUUUCAGUAGUACAGAUUCAGUAUUGUUAGAUACAGUCAAUGCUUAUCAUUGUAAAUAGCCUUAAAGAUCACCCACUAGAUAGGACUGAUCUCAGACUAAGUCAAAUCAUUCUUAUUAUCAGUAUAUUCAUGAUCACCCGCUAGAUAGGACUGAUCUCAGAUUUAGUUACUCCAAGUAGAACGGAACUCAGAUAGUUCCAUCAGAACUUAGACUGUCAGAUACAGUCGCUCAGUAUGAGUUAUAUCGGUUAGGCUGAUCAUCACAGUUAUAUCAGUUAUAACAAUUUUCUGUUCUCAUGUAUCAGUCAUAUCAGUUAUCAGAAUUCAUGAUAUCAGUAUUCAGUUUCAAGACUGUCAGACACAGUCAACCAGACUAGUUCUUCAUAAUUCGAACUGUCAGAAAUAGUCGUUCAUCUAUUCAGUAUCUCAGUAUCAGUACACUCAUAUUGUCAGUAUUCAGACUCAGUAGUCAGUAUCUCCACAAGUUCAGUUACAGUUAUGUAUGCAUGUAUGUAUUCUCAUGUCCAUAUUAGUAGCAUUGUUCAUGCAUAUAACCCUUUGCGUUUAGCCUACCUUACUCGUAUACUCAGUACAUUCAGACGUACUGACGCAUUUACGCUAUGGUGCUUUCUCUUAUGUUACACCAUAGGUUUAGAGGCACGAGCUCCAGAUCAGCAGUAACAUUUCAGUGUUCAGAGUUUGCAGUGAGUCCUCAUUCGAGGACAAUAUGAUUAUUGCUACAUUUACUAUUCAGUUGUUAGAUGGAUUUAGUUGGAGAUAUGUUCCUUCAAAUUCUUAUUCAGACAGUUUAGAGGCUUUCAGACUACAGCAUGUCAGAAAGUUAUUACAGUUUUGUUUUGGUAUUGUUAUACCGUCUUCAGAUAUUAUUCUUAUUAGAUGUUUAUUCAGUUGAACCUUACGGCCUUGCAGUACAUAUUUUCUGCAUUUUUAUGUUAUAUUAUGCAGUAUAUAGGUACAGAUAUCAGUCGUGGGUUAGCUUGUGGUCCUUCGAGGUCAUGAGCACCAUGUAGCAUUCCGGUUCAGAAAAUCGGGGUGUUACAGUAUGUUACUACUAGGUGCGUGUCCCAUUUUCUAUUUCUUAGUUCCUAUUUUCUUAUUUCGUGUUGCCUUUAUUUAUCAUAUUUUGUAUUUUUCUAAUUUCUAUUUUAUUAUUUCUUAGUCUAUAUUUUUGUUAUGUCAUCCAUCCCUUUGUUUAUUAUUCUUUAUCUUGAGUCGGGGGUCUAUCGAAAACAACCUCUAUUUCUUUGUAGGUAGCGUUAUGGACUGCAUACAUCUUACUCUCCCCAAACUUCACUCUGUGGGAAUACACUGGGUUUUUUGUUGUUGUUGUUCCUCUGUUCAGCUGUGGUUUGUUUUUCCAGACUUGGUGGUUGAUUGUUGUUGUUUAUUCUGUUGUCAUGUAUGGGAAUCAGAAUGUUAAAAUUAUUAGUUUUAGUUAUAUAUAAUAGAUGUGAGUCUCUUUUGAUUAGUUUAUGUGUUUACCAUUUCAUAUUUGAACUCCUUAGUGAAAAUUCUUGCUCGGAUUAUUAGUAGCUAACCAUCACAGUUGUCACAGAUAGAUUGUUGCUUUUCUGGUUGGCCGGCCAUCUUUUUGUGAUCAAAAUUUUGAAGUUUAGGCUAAUUAAAGCAUUUUGUAGACAUGCUUAAAAUUAUUAUUUUUAGGUAUUUAUAAUAGAUGUGAACCUCUUUUGGUUAGUUUAUGUGUUUGCCAUUUCAUAUUUUGAAUUCCAUAGUGAAAAUUCCUGCUCUACCAUGCAUCUUUUUCACUUAUCCAAUAUAGCAUGGUUAUCCAACUUCACUUUUCAAUAGUAGAUGGAAUUCUCGAGAUAAAGGAUUUCGCAAUAUGCAUUCUUCUCUCCAUUGCCCGGUGAAACUAUGAAAUUAUAAUCUAUUAUGCAGCUUCCUCUUGUUCUCUUAUUCUUCUAAUUUCAUCAUCUGUUAUCUUAAUGGAACAAGUCAUAACAAUGGUCACAAUAAUUUGAAAUCAACUUUGAGUUUAUGAUGCUUUAUAGGGUAAUACAUGUUAUUUGUAUUCGUUGAUUGUUAUGCUUUUAUUUGAUAUUAUAAUGUAAUAUAGUUUAUGCUAAUAAUGUAUAUUUUUAGCACUUUUUAUGGCCUGAAUUAACAUAUCCUUAUGCAGAAUGAGUUUGAAAGAAACAAACAAGAAAUAUUAGCUGCUCAAAGUGCAUUAGUAGUAGAAGGAGAAACUAAUUUAGCUUGUCAGUCUUCUCAGUUAAGUGAAAUGGAUAUUUGGGUGCAAUCUGUAGGUGAAAAAAAAGAGUCAAAGGUCUUGGCUCCUUAGGUCAAAGUGUAAAGGCAUCUAACAAAUCAACAUCAACUUUGCCAAAAGAAAUUGAUGAGAUGAUUAAGUCUCAGGUUGAUGCUUCAAAUGUUGAUUUGUGUACUCUGUUGCAGAAUGAGCAACACAAAAAUAAAAGGCUGAGAAAGGAAUUGGACUUGUUGAUGUAGCAUGUAUGCAAGAAAUCAUCUUCAAGUGAUGAAUUGUCAUCUCAAGAAGGCAACCAAGAUUAUGAGGAUGAAAGUGACGAUGACUCUGACGACGUGAAUGAAAGUGAUUCUAAUUCUGAUAACGCGAAAGAAAGUGAUUCUGACCCUGAUAGUUGGUAGUUGUUUUGAGGAUUCAAGUUUGAAACAUUUUGUUUUGGAUCAUUUAAUAAUCAUACAUUAUUGAUAUGGAUAUUAUGAAUUAUGUUUUUAUGUUAGCUGUAAUGAUUUACAUUA
Molecule: long non-coding RNA, 5994 nt
Organism: Capsicum annuum
Lineage: Eukaryota; Viridiplantae; Streptophyta; Magnoliopsida; Solanales; Solanaceae
Exons: 2
Source: RefSeq, a predicted model, not a curated record